GCUUCUUUUUGGACACAUACUCGAGCAAGUGAGCUGGCCAAUUAAAACUCAUCCGCCCAGCGAUUGACCGGCGGCUCUUCCCGAGCCAACUGGGUUUGGCUUCUUAGCUUUGGAAAAGGACGGCUGGAAAACCGAAAAAAAAAAGGACGCUGGGGUCUCUCGCCACGUGAGUUGUCCCGGCCGCCACGUGGAGGAGACGAAAAAGAAGAAGGCGAAGAAUCCGCAAAGAAAGUCACAAUGCGGCGAGAGUGAGAGACAGAAGACAAAAUCAACGGGAGGAUGGACUCUUGUUUACCUUUGCAUCACAUCGCAAAGCGUGUGCGGAGGCAUGCGAAAGCCUGAGCAGCUUGCUCGUUUGGGACCUCACGCCAGUUUUGAUCAAUGAAGCAGCAAACGAGCCAACGAUUGCGCAGAUGACAACCUGACGACCUUGUACCUGAACAUAAAAUACAAGAACAUGUGUUCAUACAGCAUUCCCAACGAGAGACCAGACCCUUCGCCAAGGCCAAACAACCAAUUGUAUAAUGUACGUAUACAAUCUAUGUAUACUGAUCGUCUCCAAAGAGAUGUCCUAUCUGGUGUUGACUUUGCCCGCAGGUAAACCGGUUACACUGAAAAGAAGCGAGCGAUUUGCGGAAACCAAUGCGCUCCAUUGAUUGUUAUCAAUGCUCGGGCAGCCCACUGUACAAGGUAUGUUGCCCUUUUUCCUGCUUACCACACUCAAACGCGUAUCCCUCAAUCAAAUGACUCAAGUACAAUUUAAUUUUUAGUUGGGAUCUUGAUCGAAUAACUACUACUUUGAAGAACAAAAAAAAAAGUUGGAAGGUUACGCAAGAGCAGUGCAAGUUGCUGUAGGGAAUUAACAUGCUCCUCAGAGUGAAAAACAAUAUUAAAUAUGUAAAAACCAA
Long non-coding RNA from Hippocampus comes (tiger tail seahorse), 908 nucleotides. RefSeq lists it as uncharacterized. The transcript is spliced from 3 exons. The record is from RefSeq and is a predicted model, not a curated record. NCBI's taxonomy places the organism in Eukaryota, Metazoa, Chordata, Actinopteri, Syngnathiformes, Syngnathidae.